Molecule: long non-coding RNA, 2774 nt
Organism: Danio rerio (zebrafish)
Lineage: Eukaryota; Metazoa; Chordata; Actinopteri; Cypriniformes; Danionidae
Source: Ensembl
UCCCACUAUAUCUCUGUCUCAACAUCUUCCCGUGUCCCGCUCUGCUUGGCUCUAAUGGAUGGAUGGCUGCUUCAAUCUCCAGGAAAAGCUUCAAAAGGGAGAGUGUCAGGGGCCAGGAGGGGUGUGGAGCUGGAGGACAGCAGGCAGGGGACCAAUGUUGGAUUGUUCCGGAGAGCCGAGUGGAAUGAGAGAGGGAGAAAGAGAGAGAGGAGGGUGUGUCGAAGGUCUGGAGGCAGGUAGAGAGCCAUGUGAAGUACGUCUAAGCCCCCUGCUUCUUCUCGCAAAGAAGAUUUGUAGCAAUCAUCGCCGAAGACAUGUGCUGCACGGACAUACUACAACCUUAUCACAACCCCUGCAAUGUUUCCUGUCUGUACAUCUUAUCUGCAUUGCUCAGGGAGGCAGGCUGCUCUUAUAAAUCAAGAUUUCAGCAUUCAGUCAACAUCACAUUGGCGUAGGAGCUAUUCUCCCUUUCUGCAUUUGGAAUUACCCUCCGCAGCUACAUUCGCAUGAAGGGUGCAGUGGGGAUUGUGCAUCGCAAUGCAACGGCAGGCAGGAAAAAUAGCGCGACCAUUUUUGUCUCCCACGUGAACGUAUUAAUUUGUAGCCCGGACUGAUUCUCUCUUCCUCUGCCGGUGGCCCCUGGGUUUAGCAGAACUGGAGCCUCAUCCCAGCCGCGGUGCACCUGAUUCCUCUUCCUCUCCCCAAAGACCCCGGCGCCGUCCCCCAUUUGUCAUUGGUAAGCAUGCCGACAAGCCAUGCUUCACUCGACGGGGGAAGGGGACCUGAAGCGAGCAAAACAAAGGGACAACAAAAUCAGCAUAAUUCCUCUCAAAAUGAAAACACAUUCUUCACGAAGGGGGGUAAAAUAAUGCAAUUAUCCUGGCGAAGACUGUCACUGGCAGGAUGAUGAAUUUUGGGAUGCAGACAUGGAAUGUGACACUGUUCCUCGUAAAAAAAAAAAAAACCUGAAAAAAAAAUGGUUUACUCAAAAGAUAAAGAGGAGCGUUUUAGAACCCAGGGCUUCCACCUCACUUCUUGAAAGCAGCAUUUGGAAACACAGUAGAUAAUCAUCAUGCUUCACCUUUGAAGAAGAAUUUUCUGCGAGGAAAUCACAAAAAAACGAGCCAGUGGAGGACCGAUUGCUGAGCGUGCAAUCAAACUUUUGUGAUGAAUGAUUACUCGCUGUCAUUACACAUCCUUUGCCUGCUCCGUGUGCUACCCCCUUGUGGAGAGCAGUCGAUGCGUUUUCCAAAGUGUUUUUAAAUACCCACGCUUAAUAUCCUUGAUGAUGAAUGGGUGGACUUGCAUAUGGUGGAGGCGGGGUAGAGGGAAGCCUGACGAAAUUACAAUGCGAGCUGAUUGAUCUAUGCAGAGCUGGCAUGCAGCCGGGGAGCAGGUUAAACUGAUGAAUGGAGAUUUGUGUCAGAGGCCAAUGCGGAGAUUGUCAGGAGACCUGACCUUCACAACCGCUCUGGAAUCCCCGCAUGGGCCCGGAUCCACGGCACCCGACCAAAACCCGUCCAUCAUUUCCAGGGUGAAAUCUGUCUUCACUGGGGAAACUGGUGUGAGUCAGUACAGCUUACUCACUUGAAGAUGCUUGUAUCGGCAUAGUCGUUAUGAUUUACAGCGCCGCUGAGGUGUGGAUGUGUGAUCAUUUCCCGCACAUCCUGAAAGAGAUGACAGCACUAGCAACAUAAAUGAGAGGCUUUCACAGAGGAGUGAACUGCUUAAUGUUGUCGGGCUGCGAGUUGUCAUGACAAUAUCUAAUCAGUGGAGCCGAUAAGGAAGGAAGAGUUCCAAUACAUUUCGUAUCAUAUCAAAUCUUUUCAAAUCACACAGAAAUUAGAUCAUUUAUCUGUUGGCUAUAUUGAUGCUAUCUUUCGUCAACAAUCAGAAACAGCUUUUUCUUCAGCUUCUUCUUCCUUUUUUUUAUCCCAGAAGCCAAAUGAGUCCAUCAAUCGAGGGUAGAUGGAAGUUUCUGCCCUGUUUUUAUUAAACACACAGACACACACACAAAGUCACACACUUCAAGAAAAUCAGUACUGCAAGAGGAAGCAGCAGGGGUUCACUACUGGGAGACUCAUUGUGCCCAUCAUGCAAAUUUAACCUCUGAACUGUAAAAAUGGGUUUGAGUCUUUUUUUUUUUUCCCAUCACCAUCAAACACUUCUGUGUGAGGUGCACUUUUAUUACAAACAAGAAAUAAGUUUUAUUUUUUUUAGAUAGAAAUUGUUGAUUACAUUACCCAAGCAACAGCACUCUUAAUGCUGUGUCUUUUUUUAAACCGUUGCACAGUGUAAAUAUAAAUGCUUAGCCUUUGCAUUUAGUGCUGGAGAUUACUGUGAAGAGUGACAUUUAACAAGUAAUACUAAGGUAGAGACAGUUUAAAGACAGUUUAAAAAACAUGAAUUAAUAAAUACAAUUAAAGCUAAAUUAAUAAAAGCUGAUAAAAACACACACUCGCCGGCCACUUUAUUAGGUACACCUGUCCAACGGCUCGUUAACGCAAAUUUCUAAUCAGCCAAUCACAUGGCAGCAACUCAGUGCAUUUAGGCAUGUAGACAGGGUCAAGACGAUCUGCUGAAGUUAAACCUGAGGAUCUAAAUGGGGAAGAAAGGUGACUUAAGUGACUUUGAAUGUGGCAUGGUUGUUGAUGCCAGACGGGCUGGCCUGAGUAUUUUAGAAGCUGCUGAUCUACUGAUAUUUUCACGCUUAACCAUCUCUAGGGUUUACAAAGAAUGCUUUGGGAAAAAGUGAAAAUAUCUAGUGAGCGACA